UACAAGUCAAUCCGACCAUUCCCUGGUCACCUCCCUUAUUCAGUCUCAAAAUCUUACUCACUGCUUCACGAGCAUAGACUACCAAAUCUUGGCAACAAUUUACAGUCCCGAAGGACACGACCUACCUUUAGGUAGCAAAUUACGGCCCAAUGGGCACGACCUUUAAUAGGUGGCAAAUUACGGCCUCAACAGGCGCGACCCAUAUCGGGUGGCAAAUUACGGCCUUAACAGGCGCGACCUUUAAUAGGUGGCAAAUUACGGCCUCAACAGGCGCGACCCAUAUCGGGUGGCAGAUUACGGCCUCAACAGGCGCGACCUUUAAUAGGUGGCAAAUUACGGCCUCAACAGGCGCGACCCAUAUCGGGUGGCAGAUUACGGCCUCAACAGGCGCGACCCAUAUCGGGUGGCAGAUUACGGCCUCAACAGGCGCGACCGACUCCAAAUUCGGUGGCAAAUCUCGGCUCAACUAGCAUAGCCAUACUUCGGCGGCUUCUGAGGUUCAACUCACAACCUCUCAUAGUCAAAUUCUAAUUGAAUACCGACAUUGAUCAAUCAGAUCAAUCUUGGGAUGAAUCCCCACAUACUCAUCAACUCACUCAAUUUUCACACAAUAUUAACAUACCUGAUAGAUCUUAGCCAAGAGUAUAUUCAAUUUACUCUCACAAACUUCUCCACUUAAUAGCCCAUCAAAGCAUUACAAAUGCUGAAUAAACAUACUUGGCCAUUUACCAAUCAAUAAUUCAAUCUCAAUCAAUUCCAAUCAAUUUAGGGUAACUCCCCAAAAUAUCACAAUUUAUUUAAUUCCACGCAACGUGGAGCUCAAAUAAAUAAACAGACUGCACCACGAUGAUCAGCACGAGAUUUCGGUCGUCGGCCAUCAAAAUCUUAAUUUCCGAAAAAUAAUUAAUUAAUAAAUAUUAAAAAUUCAAUUUAGCUCAAAAUAAAGCCCGAUUAAAUAAACGGACUUCACCA
RNAcentral lists this long non-coding RNA (972 nucleotides) under Eucalyptus grandis. RNAcentral describes it as "long non-coding RNA (EGRA_LNC004739)". The record is from RNAcentral. Lineage: Eukaryota; Viridiplantae; Streptophyta; Magnoliopsida; Myrtales; Myrtaceae.